CGCGCAUCGCGCACCUGCGGGCGCUGCGCGGCGCCGUGACCUUGGGAGGCGCCGGCGGCCGGGCCGAGCAGCGCGCCGGGAGCCGUGCGGGGCGGGUGGCGGAUGCGACAGCGCGGUGUGGGAGAAGGAGCGGGUGUGCGUCCGUGUGUCCCUCGGUGCCGCGAUUUGGAGGCGGAGAUCGGCGGAGUUGCGGAGGGGUGCCGUGGUGGGGCUUCAGAAGAACGGGGACGUCACCGCUUAUUGCUCCGUAGUGCGUUUUUCCUGAUCGCCUCCGGAGAAGCUGCAGGUCGAGCUGCGUUUACGUGUAAUUCUUAUCAUUGAGGCAUUGCACACUUAAAUGUGAGUGCAGCUCAGCCACCAUUCUCGAGGCUGGAUUAGCGAGAACGAAACUGUGCAAUACAUAUUUUAGAUGUUUUCCCAUUGCGCAACGCUCCGGUGUUCUGUGGCAGGACAGGAGGGAUCGGACCUUGGCAGCCCUUCCAGCGGCGGCUCCGUUCCGUGUCGUGCCGCUUCCCUCGGCCCGGCGCUGCGGCGGGCAGGGCUGGCCCCGAGGGGCAGCUCUUGCUCGAGUGCGCUUGCAGAUGGUCCUGUUCGAAGGCUGUGUCUGUCUUUUUCUGCUCUGAGCAGUUUUCGGUAUGGAAAUGACAUUGUAACUUAACCCCAUUUUCUUAUUAAGAUGGUUUAUUCAAAUCUGGUUUUAAUAUUGUUCUGUUGUGGUUUAACCACAGGGGUCUAGGUUCUGUUUUCAGUGAGGUCAUUGUAAAUCUAGAAUAACAACACCAGAAUGACUUCAUCAUUUACAUUCAGCAUUGUAAAAUCUGUGUCUUUUGUUUGUAUUUGUAAGAGGAGGGAGAAAAGUCUAUUUGUGUAAUGAGUACUAUUGGUAACAGCAAACCUAACCAGCUGGAAAUUGCUUACAAAAAUUACAGGCAUUUCUCAGACUCUUUCAAGUAUAAGCAGAAAAUAUUUAAAGCUUAUUAGUGAUUAACACAGUGUGUGUCCUCACAUUCGCAUGCUUCAAUAUGGUUUAGCGACCACAAAAUGGAAAUGUGAUCACAAAACUGUAUACACAGAAGUUAUUUAGAAAUGACUGGCGUGUGUUGUAGAACAACAAAUGGAAAUGCAUGUUAGAUGUUUAUUAGUCAUUCCUUGUUGGAUCAUUAUAGAUACUUUGCAUCAAUCACUUUCAAGUCUGCCAGUCGUGCUAUCAACAGUCAGUAAAUGCAGAGAUACAUGAAUCCAUAUAGAUAAGAACCCUUGAAGAACAAAGCAAAAAACAUUCCUUUAUGUUGUAAGAAGGAAUAAGAUUUUGGUACCUUUCAGAAGUUUUCCUUCCAUUCAAUUUUUACUGUUGAAAAAAUCUAUUCAGCCUGAUUCUUCUGUACUCUCACAAGUCAAGUUUCCACUGACGUCAACAGGAGUACCAUAUAAAGGACAAGUACAGGAUUAAACACGACACAAUGUUUGGCAUGGUAGGCUUCCUAAAAGAUCUCAGGGCUCUUACCAGGGAAAUUAAGUCACCAGCAACACCAAGGGACUGGGAUUUUUAAUUACUUGAAUCUUCAUUUUCUUAUCAGUGGAUAAAAGUGGUGCAUGCUAAGCACACAGACAUAACAUCCACAAAUAGAAAGUCCAGUGCUCUUAAAAUUAAAUACCUAUUUUCCUUGAUCAUUCAGCAGUACUUGAAAGCUUGAGCCCAUGCCAAGGAACUAAUGAGAGCCUGGCACUGACUUGGGCUUGUUGAUUCCAGCCUCUUUCUUUUCUGUCUCCCACCUGCAUCAGACUCAUAAUUUGUGACUGUGGCUUUUUGGCAGAAUGCAGUGCCUCAGGCAAAGCCAAAAGCUAGCCCCGAGAGGAAGGUGGAUACUAGAAAUGGUACAAUCAAUAACACUGCACAUGAGUGAAGCUGCAAGGCAUGUUAGCAACAGCAAAAGAACACAAUACACAUCAGCUCAGUGCCUGCAGCAGUUCAGGCUUCUCACAGAAAUCCAAACCGUGCUCCAUGGGGCUGCUCCUCCCUGCCACAGUUGUGAUGAAGACGGUGAAAUGACACACACCAAUGAGGCCUGCUUGCAUGUACAGAAUGUGUAGGAGCAGCUCUUAAAGCACAUGUUCACAAAUCCUGUGGCAACAGAAGCAUUAUAAAUACAUUUCAAGCAAUAUAAAUACAGGAAACAGAUUAGAUAAUUACUAUAGCCAUUUGAUUACUCAUGAUUGACAUUAACAUUUUGGGUAGAAAAGGUGCCAGUGCAAUCUUGUCUCCCUUUUCUGUCAAUACUGGUACCACAUACUGUGAAGGUUUUUAGAAACUAAUAAAACCAGAUGCUAUUCUUCAUCUCUCCUCAAUUUCUUAGAGUCAGAUCACAUCCAAAUAUGGUAAACAAACUGGUGUUUCUAGAUUUGAUGGUACUUCUGAAUGAUAUUGAAUACAAACAGAAGCAGCAUCAAUAGCUUCAGUAAGUGCAAACUCUUCACUCAUUCAGAUACCUCCAUGCUGUUUAUGGUACUCAUUCAUGGGCAAAGGACAGUACGAAACCUGUGCAUCACUUAGGCCUCACUUGAAUUCUGUUUUGAAGUUUUACAUAUCACAGAACAGUUGUUGACUCUGCGCACAGGAAGAGCACAUCCUGUUUGUGUACGCUUUAUGAAAUUUCCUGAAAUAUAUUUUUAUUGUGAUUAUUACUUGUGAAGCACAGAAAAUGUCAGUACAGAUGGAAAAUGGCACAGAUGCUUCAUAUCAAAGUCUUUUUUUCCUUACUAAAUUACCAACUUCUAGUACUCUGGCUGCAGGAGUGAUGACAUGCCACACAGGCUAUAACCCGCUGGACAUUUUCAGCAGAAGUGCAUUCAAUGAUUAUGUUGUGAUUAUGUUACCUUUUAAUUUUCAUGGUAGAUUUUCAACUCUGAAAAUCUAUUUGCAGUCUUUUUUUAGCAUUAACUGUCACGUUACUGCUCAGUGCUGAGCAAGAUGCAGAAGAAACUUGCAGUGUUCUGAUUCAUUCUAGCAAUUCUGUGAAACUUAAAUGCAGUUAUGAAAAUAAAAGUAAUUUUUGGUCCUCGGUCAGGUUGGAGUCCUUUCUUAUAUUACAAAAAUGAUAGUUUACUACUAAUUUCUAAUGGGAGACUAAUGCAGCUUCAUGACAUGUCAGUGCAGUGGGAAAAGCCUGACUGCCUCUCUUGCUGAGUUUAACUAUUGCCAAUACAAGCCACUUCAAUGCAUUUUGAAAUAUACAUAUACAUUUUGAAAUAUACCACAUUUAACUAAUCUCUGCUGUAAAAAAUGAACAAGCUUGACUACAUGAAUAAAUCUUAGUUUCCAGACAAAAGCUAUUUGUCACAAUUCAAUGAAAUUACAUCCACUUGAUAAAGCCCUGUGCAGUGUAAAAUUAAUGUCAAUAAGGACAUUUUAGUUAAGUCCUGCAUCCUGCAUCUUCUCAUACCAGGAUAAUGUAUUGGUUCACCA
Molecule: RNA transcript, 3463 nt
Organism: Passer domesticus (house sparrow)
Lineage: Eukaryota; Metazoa; Chordata; Aves; Passeriformes; Passeridae
Exons: 2
Source: RefSeq, a predicted model, not a curated record